AGCCUGUUCAAUGGGCCCCAGCAGCCUGUGCUCUACUUGAUCCUGCUCUCCUCUCCAGCAGCUGCCUCAGCCUAUUUUAGCUGGGUUUCCUGUGGCAAUUCAACCAGAACUUGGGAGUUGGAGCUGCAAGUUGCCACCAUCCAACCUCCCCCUCACGCUCUAAAGCCCCAUCCCAGUGGCAUGCCAGAACUUUCCCUGGGUUUGCUCAGCCCAGAGCAGAGGAGCUGAGGGGAGGCCUCAUGGCGGCUGCGGCUCCUCACAGAGAGUGGAGGGGCAGCGCUGAGCUCUGCUCUGUGUGACAGCAACAGGGCCCGAGGGAACGGCAUGGAGCUGUGUCAGGGGAGGGGGGACAGGUUGGGGAUUGGGAACAGGUGCUUCAGCAGAGAGCGAUGGGCAUGGAACGGGCUGCCCAGGGCUGUGGGUACGGCCCUGAGUGCCAGAGUUCAGAAAGUAGACAGCACACUCAGACAUUGGAUUUGGAUUUUGGGUGCUCCUGUGUGGAGCCAGGGGUUGGACUCAGUUAUUCUUAUAGGUAAUUUCCAACUUGGGAUAUUCUCUGUUUCUAUGAGCUGUCUCUCCAGAGCCCAGCCGUAUGCCCACUGGUCACCUUUAUUCUGCCUUUCCCACAGAUCCUUCUGCAUUGCUCCGAGUAAGCCCAGGUGAACACAUUAACAUAGCUAUCUUCCCUGCACACUGGCUCUUUGGAAUCUGAACAGACUGCAAUGUUCUCAGAUGUGUCUGUGCUUCAGUGGAUUAUUUUUGAAUUUAUUCGACAAAUAAUUCCUGGUCUGUACCCUGACUCACUGAGUGCUGAACUUCUCUUAAGUAAUGCAUGCUAAUCAUCAUCUGUUCUGCAUUUUAUAGCUAGUGGUGGUGAAAGAUGAAAGCCCAGCAUUGCCUAUUAUACUGGGGCUACAGUCAGAUAUAAAAAAAAAAAGUCCUCCAAGAUGACAUCUGUUGUAGCCAAAGUUCAUAUAUUCCUUCAUGAAAAUUCAACUACAUUAAAAAAAGAGAGAGAGAGAGAUUUGCAAUAGAUGGAGGAUGAUUCAUGCUUAAAUACACAGCAGAAUGCCACUCACUCUUUCCCUUAGUCCUUGCUGCUUUGUGAGUCCAGCCAGGGAAGAUCUGUGAUCAGUGCUAACAAAUGUACAUUUUCUCAUCUUGCCCUUCAGCAUUUCAUCAGAGGUAACACUAAAGUCUGGUGCUCUUUUGACAUCACACAAAUUGCAUUCUCUGUCUCUGUUCUCCUCUCCCAGCCUGUUUUAUCUUUCGGUGCUCAGCAGAUCUUCACAUGCAGCUAAAUGUUUAGCUGCAAAAAAUGAAGCGUAUGGAGGAUAUGCAUGAAUACAGAAAGUAGCAGGACUGUCACUGAAUGGUCCUUUUUGGAGAAAUUGGCCUCAUUUCAGUGGGUAGUGAACAGCUGCCUCCCAGCUGAGAUUUAUCAGCUAAAGGCAAGGCAACAACAAAUGUAGCAGAAGGAAGAGGGAGAGCUGUGAAAACUGGAGGGCUUCUUUCUGGCUGUGUUCUGGCAAUGACUUGGCAUUACGGACCAGACGAGGAUGCUCAGGCCCGUACAGCUAGCAGGCCUACUCACAGCAGCAUCGCCUGCUGCGAAGGGUUGACACUGCUGGUUCCAAGUAGUAAAAGAAGCAAAAGCUGAAACAUUGAGAUGAGUUCCCAGGCUGACUGAUGUCUGGCACAGUGUCCUGUAUUCCUGAGCUGCAGAAGUAGGUGAGAAAUUUAUGCAAGAGACUGUAACAUUUCUGUCCAGGUAGCAGGUGCUUCCUUGGGCAGAUCCUGGCUAACGGCUGCUGGGCAAGAGAGUUUUCCCAUUGCUUUUGGUCAUUGUAAUCCCUUGGUACCUUGGUUGGAGUUUCCUGCUCCACAUGCGCAAUGUCACCAGCUGACAUAGAAUCUGAAAAGAUGUGCUGGACCAGGGGAGGAGAAAAGGUGCUAUUGCAACCAUUGGCAUCUUCUUCUUCAAACGCCUGCAAAGUGAGGCAGGACUGUCCUUCCUUUCUUCUUCAUUACAUGUUUCUGAAGACUACAACUUACUGUAAUUCAGAAUGAAGCUAUUCAAGUUUUGUGGGGGAAGAUUAGUGUGCUAAAACACUCGCACACCUCUAAGACAGCUGCAGCUGGAUUGUCAGUGAGCUGAUGAUGGGAGACAGGAGGUUGUGAGAAUGAAACAGGGAAUGUGACACCUCUGGAGGUAUCCAACAGGAACUGUGGAAGGAAAAAGCUGGGCCUGGGUUCCCACAGAUGGAAGAGCCAGUGGGAAGGCAUUAGGAGGGGAGCACACAGAAAUGGAUACCAUCCACCAUUGCCCAGAGGAGUUGGGCUGAGAUUGUGUGAGACACAUUUCUAACAUCCUGCCUACCUCACCACUUAAACUGGGAGUUUUUGUCUGCUGGAAGCAAAGUGACACUAGCAAAUGCCUAGUUGUUUUGUGUUGGUUUUUCUUCCUAACCGUGUCAGAUUUCGUGUACUUGUGAGUUUCACAGCAGGGCUGAAUCCUCAGGGGGACACCUGAGCUGGGAUCCCGCAAGGCUUCAGCCAAGUCAAGGGCUGCACCACCACACACGUCACACUGUGCAAGGGAACCAGGGCGCUGCACAGGAACCGUGGAGACUACUUGGAAGUUAAGUUCUGAUUUUUUGCCCUUUCACGUCUCAGGACGUUCUGAGUCAUGAAAAUCAUGGAGUAUUACUGAAUUGCUUGAGUCCAGGUGACGGAAACCUGCUGCUUCUGCUACAUUUUAAGGGAAAAGAAGGAAAUAGAAAGGGGAUCUGUAAUGAUGAAGAAGCCAACAAACUACCUUCUCAACUGGAUGCCAGAAGAAUCGAGGGCACAG
Long non-coding RNA from Gallus gallus (chicken), 2854 nucleotides. RefSeq lists it as uncharacterized. The transcript has 2 exons. Lineage: Eukaryota; Metazoa; Chordata; Aves; Galliformes; Phasianidae. The record is from RefSeq and is a predicted model, not a curated record.